Molecule: RNA transcript, 1322 nt
Organism: Anopheles moucheti
Lineage: Eukaryota; Metazoa; Arthropoda; Insecta; Diptera; Culicidae
Exons: 2
Source: RefSeq, a predicted model, not a curated record
UCCCAAUUCUGCUUCGAAUGUGUGAAGAAUUGUUUCAACUCGAUCGCUCGUCAAACGUCAGUAUUCCCGAUCAGCGCCGUUGUUUGCUAGCAUGCUUGGCUAUUGCAAACGUCUUAUCUUAUCAGUGCGAUAGAGUAUGCAAACAAAACAUGAAAGUGGAUGUCUUCCGAUGGGCUUGGGACCGUUGUGAAAGUGUUCGGUUUUUAGUCAUCACCCGUAAUCGCACUAGUGCGUCAGUUUUACGCUGGGUUCUGCCAACAGAGAUGUUGCGCCACAGCCUGGUACUGCUUCUUCCUCUCGUGUUGAUCGUGCUGAUAAGCGGCGUGCCGUUUCGACCAACCGUAGCUGGCAACACGGUACCGUUAGUUCAACGUGCAACGCGCCGGGUUAUCUUCUACAGGCCGGACCGUGACAAUAACGAGACGCAAACCGUCAACAAGUCGAACAUUUUCGAUCCACCGAAGCUCUGCCCCAUCGGUUAUCAGCUCGAUCGGCACUCUCGGUGCCGUCGAAUGAUGGGCUAGGGCCACUAGUUACCUACACCAUCUUCCACUGGCUGCCAGGCGGUAGUGUGCGUGUGUAUAUCUAUCCAGCGACGCAUAUCUGUCGCCGUGGUACCGUCUAGUGCUGCAGUCUCAGCCAUAAUUCCUGCUGCGAAAGUGCUCUCGGUGAAUAGGGUUGAAAUCGCUCAAAAACUCACAUACAAAUUAAGACAAAACUCACAAACAUGGGAUCGCUGGGCCGAUUAUCGCUAGUGCUGCUGCUGCUGCUUACCGUGGGUCUGCUAGUGCCCGCUACCACCGGUGUACGGAUAAUAUUUUGGCGUCCGCUAGCAGAGCCCAGCACCACCAAUACCGACGUGAACAAGGGCAACAUACUUCGGUCGCCUAAUCUCGCUGGCAGCAGCUGUGGAAAUGGUCAGGCGAUAGACUUCCGCGGAAUGUGCCGCAAUACUAUAUCGUUUUAAGAAAUCGCCCCGCGAUAGCUAGUUCCCGAGAAAUUGGGCACAUUAUCAUAUUGGCCGGACUCGGAAGCGAUGCAAAUGAUUAUUCAUUUUUUAUAAAACACCGGAUAACUGAUAGCUCUCAGGACCUCCUACGUUACUGUACAAAAUCCAUGCAACUGGUACUGGUUGAACACACAAAAUUAAAGCUUAGACCUCCAUGAUGCCAUCAGGGCUUAUAUCCUCAGUGAAGCGGAGCCUCUACUUAUGUAAACCACCACUACCUAGUGUUAGCGUAAUGACAAUGCUACAAUAUGAUAUAUAAGCGACUACCAGUACUGUUAUUCUGAAUAAAAGCUGCACAAGCCGUUCUACUUCA